Long non-coding RNA from Labeo rohita (rohu), 617 nucleotides. RefSeq lists it as uncharacterized. Lineage: Eukaryota; Metazoa; Chordata; Actinopteri; Cypriniformes; Cyprinidae. The transcript is spliced from 3 exons. The record is from RefSeq and is a predicted model, not a curated record.
AAAAGACCUAAAGGAAGCAUUCAACCCAGUCUUGUUUGUGGAGAGGUAUUUAUAAGGAUUACUCACAGAUUGUGCCGGCCUUCUUUUCCAGGUCUCUACAAUACCAAAAUCAACAGCUCUUUUACGAGCCAACCCUCACAAACCUUCCUAAAAACUAAAAGAGCUAUUACUGAGUCUCAAUGAAUCUUGCCAUGAUCAGCCCCUCCCAGAAGAGAAGAUAGACCAAGGAAGUCUUUUGUUCAGGGUGAGGAAUGAAUAUGGCCAUCUUGCCUCGUCCCAACUCCUCCUUCCGCACACGACAUCUGACAGAAGAACCGACCAAACACAAUAUGUUCUGGGCUGAGGAAUUCCUUAUGAACAUCCAGCAGGCGGAGAGGCCAUUGGAGCAGUAUCGCAUACUGGAGCAGUAUGUCUCCUUAUUUGGUCUUUCCUGUUCUGUUUCUUAUUAUGAAGUCACUGUUUAACCACUUACACCUGUCCUUGUCUCAUUAGCCUGGUUAUAUAAGUUUGAUUCAGUUCCUUGGUCUUUGUCGGUUCUUAGUGUCAUUUAAGGUUGUUUUCGUUGUGUUAGCGUGUGGUUUCCCUGCUGUUCCUGUUCCCUGGUUUGGAUUAUUAAA